ACGAGCACGCGCGUGUGGCAUAUCAAUAAGCGGAGGAAAAGAAACUAACAAGGAUUCCCUUAGUAACGGCGAGUGAAGCGGGAAGAGCUCAAAUUUGAAAUCUUCAAGGUUCUACCUUGACGAAUUGUAGUUUAUAGAAGUGUUUUCUGUUAGUGGAGUGGCAAAAGUUCUUUGGAAUAGGACAUCAUAGAGGGUGAGAAUCCCGUAUUUGGUCAUUCCUCCUAGCGUUGUGAUACACUUUCAACGAGUCGGAUUGUUUGGGAAUGCAGUCCAAAAUGGGUGGUAAAUUUCAUCUAAAGCUAAAUAUUGGCGAGAGACCGAUAGCGAACAAGUACCGUGAGGGAAAGAUGAAAAGAACUUUGAAAAGAGAGUUAAACAGUACGUGAAAUUGUCAAAAGGGAAGCGUUUGACACCAGUGUUGUUUUUCCGAAAAUCAAUUACGAAUGUUUUGUUUUUAAGAAGUUAUGACUUCAUCGGCUUGCUUCUUUCUUUACGAAACUUUCUUAAUGCACUUUUCGGUUAACAAGUCAACAUCAAUUUCUUUUGUUGUAAAAGGGUAUGAGGAAGGUGGCUUUCUUUUCGGAGAAAGUGUUUAUAGCCUUGUGCCUCUGCAAUCGGAGAGAUUGAGGUCUGCAGCGUAGAUCCUUCGGGGUUAGAUACGUUUGUGCUAAGUUAUAGCUUUUCAUAGACAACUUGUUGACUAUGUUAAGUCAUUGUAGCUUACUCGCUGACGCUAUUUUACCUACGCUUAGGAUGUUGAUGUGAUACUGCGAGCA
Molecule: ribosomal RNA, 776 nt
Filed under: uncultured Neocallimastigales
Lineage: Eukaryota; Fungi; Neocallimastigomycota; Neocallimastigomycetes; Neocallimastigales
Description: partial large subunit ribosomal RNA
Rfam family: Eukaryotic large subunit ribosomal RNA
Source: RNAcentral